UACAGAGGUCCCAAGCGUUGUUCGGAUUCACUGGGCGUAAAGGGUGCGUAGGUGGUGAGGUAAGUCGGAUGUGAAAGCUCGGAGCUCAACUCCGAAAUGGCAUUGGAAACUACCUUGCUCGAGGGUUGGAGGGGGGACUGGAAUGCUUGGUGUAGCAGUGAAAUGCGUAGAUAUGCGGAGGAACACCGAUGGCGAAGGCAAUCCCCUGGGCCUGCACUGACGCUCAUGCACGAAAGCGUGGGGAGCAAACAGG
Molecule: ribosomal RNA, 253 nt
Filed under: uncultured bacterium
Lineage: Bacteria
Description: partial 16S ribosomal RNA
Rfam family: Bacterial small subunit ribosomal RNA
Source: RNAcentral